This 336-nucleotide long non-coding RNA is filed under the name Brassica rapa (field mustard). RNAcentral describes it as "long non-coding RNA (BRAP_LNC002517)". The record is from RNAcentral. Lineage: Eukaryota; Viridiplantae; Streptophyta; Magnoliopsida; Brassicales; Brassicaceae.
UAUCAAGCACCAUUUGGAGUCGGGAAUAUCGAAGGCCAAUCUGCAUCCUUCGUGAGACCCUUCAAUCCAUCUAGUUCUCCUUCUGGAGUUCAUAUCCAAAUCUGAUCCAUUCGAGUGAGCCGAGCUUAGGUUCCUUCAAGUGGUAUCAGAGCCACUCGUUUGGUAUCUUCUAAAUCAUUCAUCUUUCUCAUCUUCCAUUUCUAAAUCAUAAAUACUUCUUCUUCUAUCUAUCUUGAAUCCGGGCUCCUCAUUACCAUCCUCUAUCUAUUAAAAAAAAUAUCUAUCUAUAAAAGAAAAAAAAAAGAAUUUGAAAAGUUUUUCAUUUGGGGAUCGGUG